GAUGAACGCUGGCGGCGUGCCUAAUACAUGCAAGUCGAGCGAACGGACGCGAAGCUUGCUUCUCUGAUGUUAGCGGCGGACGGGUGAGUAACACGUGGAUAACCUACCUAUAAGACUGGGAUAACUUCGGGAAACCGGAGCUAAUACCGGAUAAUAUUUUGAACCGCAUGGUUCAAAAGUGAAAGACGGUCUUGCUGUCACUUAUAGAUGGAUCCGCGCUGCAUUAGCUAGUUGGUAAGGUAACGGCUUACCAAGGCAACGAUGCAUAGCCGACCUGAGAGGGUGAUCGGCCACACUGGAACUGAGACACGGUCCAGACUCCUACGGGAGGCAGCAGUAGGGAAUCGUCCGCAAUGGGCGAAAGCCUGACGGAGCAACGCCGCGUGAGUGAUGAAGGUCUUCGGAUCGUAAAACUCUGUUAUUAGGGAAGAACAUAUGUGUAAGUAACUGUGCACAUCUUGACGGUACCUAAUCAGAAAGCCACGGCUAACUACGUG
Molecule: ribosomal RNA, 497 nt
Filed under: uncultured bacterium
Lineage: Bacteria
Description: partial 16S ribosomal RNA
Rfam family: Bacterial small subunit ribosomal RNA
Source: RNAcentral